UCUACGGUGUGCAGCAGUGGGGAAUAUUGCACAAUGGGGGAAACCCUGAUGCAGCGACGCCGCGUGAGCGAUGAAGUAUUUCGGUAUGUAAAGCUCUAUCAGCAGGGAAGAAAAUGACGGUACCUGACUAAGAAGCCCCGGCUAACUACGUGCCAGCCGCCGCGGUAAUACGUAGGGGGCAAGCGUUAUCCGGAUUUACUGGGUGUAAAGGGAGCGUAGACGGCGGUGCAAGCCAGAUGUGAAAGCCCGGGGCUCAACCCCGGGACUGCAUUUGGAACUGUGCUGCUAGAGUGUCGGAGAGGCAGGCGGAAGUCCUAGGGUAGCGGUGAAAUGCGUAGAUAUUAGGAGGAACACCAGUGGCGAAGGCGGCCUGCUGGACGAUGACUGACGUUGAGGCUCGAAAGCGUGGGGAGCAAACAGGAUUAGAUACCCGAGUAGUC
RNAcentral lists this ribosomal RNA (440 nucleotides) under uncultured bacterium. Its description in RNAcentral is "partial 16S ribosomal RNA". It matches the Rfam family "Bacterial small subunit ribosomal RNA", at positions 338 to 795 of the family's 1533-position model. The record is from RNAcentral.